RNAcentral lists this long non-coding RNA (466 nucleotides) under Pan troglodytes (chimpanzee). RNAcentral describes it as "long non-coding RNA NONPTRT000642". Lineage: Eukaryota; Metazoa; Chordata; Mammalia; Primates; Hominidae. The record is from RNAcentral.
GAAAAAUUCAAAACCAGCAGAUGCCACUACCUGGCAAUGAAUUGAAAAUUAGGGGAAAGCAUCUUUGGCAUGACCUUUUAUUAAGACAACAGAAAUUUAGAACAUUUUACAUGCUUCUUUGUUAAAUGGUGAAGCAAGGGAAUGAAAGUCUUUAUUUUUAGAGCUCAUAGUUAACUCCAUCAAGACAUGGCUACCCACCCCUCCAGUUAUGAACUUGUAUUACAGCUCCACUUGGUGACUUCCUUUCUGUGUAUCAGGAGCAGAGCAGAGGACAACUUGUAGAAGACAUGACCAUUAAGAGACAACAACUUCGCAACAAAUAUAAGACAAGGAUACAAGGAUUCCUGUGUGAUACAGCUAGGUUUUUAUAUCCUUCUAACAAAUGUAUCUGUGACAGGCUGAAGAACGAUGACUAAACGAAGGGAAUUUACACAAGCUAGUCUGGUGGUGUUUGCAAACCAUCGCC